RNAcentral lists this ribosomal RNA (393 nucleotides) under Stramenopiles sp. MAST-2D. RNAcentral describes it as "partial small subunit ribosomal RNA". It matches the Rfam family "Eukaryotic small subunit ribosomal RNA", at positions 582 to 975 of the family's 1831-position model. The record is from RNAcentral.
AUUCCAGCUCCAAUGGCGUAUAUUAAAGUUGUUGCAGUUAAAAAGCUCGUAGUUGGAUUUCUAGCAGGAGCGACCGGCCGGCCCAUUGUGGUGUGUACUAGUGUUGCAUCUGGCCAUAUUUGUGGAGAGCGUGUGUGGCAUUAAUUUGUCGUGCUCGGGACCCGCAUCGUUUACUGUGAGAAAAUUAGAGUGUUCAAAGCAGGCUUAUGCCUUGGAUAUGUUAGCAUGGAAUAAUAAGAUAAGACUUUGGCGGUCUAUUUUGUUGGUUUGCACGCCAUUGUAAUGAUUGAUAGGGACAGUUGGGGGUAUUCAUAUUUAAUUGUCAGAGGUGAAAUUCUUGGAUUUAUGAAAGAUGAACUACUGCGAAAGCAUUUACCAAGGAUGUUUUCAUUA